ACGCUAGCUACAGGCUUAACACAUGCAAGUCGAGGGGCAGCAUGGUCUUAGCUUGCUAAGGCCGAUGGCGACCGGCGCACGGGUGAGUAACACGUAUCCAACCUGCCGUCUACUCUUGGACAGCCUUCUGAAAGGAAGAUUAAUACAAGAUGGCAUCAUGAGUUCACAUGUUCACAUGAUUAAAGGUAUUCCGGUAGACGAUGGGGAUGCGUUCCAUUAGAUAGUAGGCGGGGUAACGGCCCACCUAGUCUUCGAUGGAUAGGGGUUCUGAGAGGAAGGUCCCCCACAUUGGAACUGAGACACGGUCCAAACUCCUACGGGAGGCAGCAGUGAGGAAUAUUGGUCAAUGGGCGCAGGCCUGAACCAGCCAAGUAGCGUGAAGGAUGACUGCCCUAUGGGUUGUAAACUUCUUUUAUAAAGGAAUAAAGUCGGGUAUGUAUACCCGUUUGCAUGUACUUUAUGAAUAAGGAUCGGCUAACUCCGUGCCAGCAGCCGCGGUAAUACGGAGGAUCCGAGCGUUAUCCGGAUUUAUUGGGUUUAAAGGGAGCGUAGAUGGAUGUUUAAGUCAGUUGUGAAAGUUUGCGGCUCAACCGUAAAAUUGCAGUUGAUACUGGAUAUCUUGAGUGCAGUUGAGGCAGGCGGAAUUCGUGGUGUAGCGGUGAAAUGCUUAGAUAUCACGAAGAACUCCGAUUGCGAAGGCAGCCUGCUAAGCUGCAACUGACAUUGAGGCUCGAAAGUGUGGGUAUCAAACAGGAUUAGAUACCCUGGUAGUCCACACGGUAAACGAUGAAUACUCGCUGUUUGCGAUAUACUGCA
Molecule: ribosomal RNA, 816 nt
Filed under: uncultured organism
Description: SSU rRNA
Rfam family: Bacterial small subunit ribosomal RNA
Source: RNAcentral